RNAcentral lists this non-coding RNA (943 nucleotides) under Pungitius laevis (smoothtail ninespine stickleback). RNAcentral describes it as "12S ribosomal RNA". It matches the Rfam family "Bacterial small subunit ribosomal RNA". Lineage: Eukaryota; Metazoa; Chordata; Actinopteri; Perciformes; Gasterosteidae. The record is from RNAcentral.
CAAAGGCUUGGUCCUGACUUUAACAUCAACUUUAGCUAUACUUACACAUGCAAGUAUCCGCACCCCUGUGAGAAUGCCCCCCAGUUCCCCGUCCGGGAACAAGGAGCUGGUAUCAGGCACACUUUGAAGCCCACGACGCCUUGCUUAGCCACACCCCCAAGGGAAUUCAGCAGUGACAAACAUUAAGCUAUAAGUGAAAACUUGACUUAGUUAAAGCUAAGAGGGCCGGUAAAACUCGUGCCAGCCACCGCGGUUAUACGAGAGGCCCAAGUUGAUGAACAUCGGCGUAAAGAGUGGUUAAGCUAAAAUUAAAACUAAAGCCGAACGUCCCCAAAGCUGUUAUACGCACCCGGGGGUAAGAAGUUCAACCACGAAGGUGGCUUUAUUAAACCUGAACCCACGAAAGCUACGGCACAAACUGGGAUUAGAUACCCCACUAUGCCUAGCCCUAAACAUUGAUAGAAUUUUACAACCUCUAUCCGCCCGGGGACUACAAGCAUCAGCUUGAAACCCAAAGGACUUGGCGGUGCUUUAGAUCCACCUAGAGGAGCCUGUUCUAGAACCGAUAACCCCCGUUCAACCUCACCCCUCUUUGUUAAUACCGCCUAUAUACCACCGUCGUCAGCUUACCCUGUGAGGGAUCAAUAGUAAGCUUAACUGGUACAACCCUAAACGUCAGGUCGAGGUGUAGCGUAUGGAGGGGGAAGAAAUGGGCUACAUUCGCUACAACAGCGAACACGAAUGAUGUCCUGAAACGUACAUCUGAAGGAGGAUUUAGCAGUAAGUAGAAAAUAGAGUGUUCUACUGAAAUUGGCCCUGAAGCGCGCACACAUCGCCCGUCACUCUCCCCAAGCCUAAUAAUACAAUUAACUAAAAACUAAUAAUUGCAAAGGGGAGGCAAGUCGUAACAUAGUAAGUGUACCGGAAGGUGCACUUGGAAAAG